UCACAAAGUUUUUUUUAUUUUGUUUUGGUUUGGUUUUUUGUGACCAGAAAUGGUUAAGGAAAGCUGAUCCAGGCAAUCUGUGCUUCCUACUGGGUACUCUAAGUCCCUGAGAGGAGAAGAAACUGACUCAAGGGCCCACAACAAGAUGUCAGGCUUAGAAAAUAAGAGAUGGGCCAAGAAGCUACCAGAGGUGCACCUCAUUGUCCUGGAAGUUCAAGCAUGGUUGGGACCUUCUGGUCUCUUCUACAAGCUGGAGGGGAAGGCUCUAGCAGGAAUCCACAUGGGAAGAAGGAAGCCUGCCUGA
RNAcentral lists this long non-coding RNA (304 nucleotides) under Castor canadensis (American beaver). RNAcentral describes it as "lncRNA (ENSCCNG00000026044.1)". The record is from RNAcentral. Lineage: Eukaryota; Metazoa; Chordata; Mammalia; Rodentia; Castoridae.